CUACGGGAUGCACCAGUUAGGAAUUUUUUACAAUGCGCGCAAGCGUGAUAAAGUGAGCCAGAGUGCUUUCCAAUUGGAAAGCUUUUGCCAAAUGCAAAAAGUUUGGCGAAUAAGGACUGGGUAAGACUAGUGCCAGCCGCCGCGGUAAUACUAGCGGUCCAAGUCGCAGCCAUUUUUAUUGGGUCUAAAACAUCCGUAGCUUGUUAAACAAGUUCUCUGUGAAAUCUUGUCUCUCAAGGUCAGGGCGAGCAGGGAAUACUAUUUGACUAGAGACUGGAAGACGUAAGAAGUAUGAUCAAAGUAGUGGUAAAAUACUUUAAUCUUGAUCAGACUACCAAUAGCGAAGGCAUCUUACGAGGACAGUUCUGACAGUAAAGGAUGAAGGCUAGGGGCGCAAAACGGAUUAGAUACCCCUGUAGUC
Molecule: ribosomal RNA, 421 nt
Filed under: uncultured archaeon
Lineage: Archaea
Description: partial 16S ribosomal RNA
Rfam family: Archaeal small subunit ribosomal RNA
Source: RNAcentral